ACCGCCCGUCACAUCACGAAAGCCAGUUGUACUAGAAGCCGGUAAUUCAACCGCAAGGAGAUGGCCGUCCAAGGUAUGACUGGUGAUUGGGGUG
RNAcentral lists this ribosomal RNA (94 nucleotides) under uncultured bacterium. Its description in RNAcentral is "partial 16S ribosomal RNA". It matches the Rfam family "Bacterial small subunit ribosomal RNA", at positions 1389 to 1482 of the family's 1533-position model. The record is from RNAcentral.